AGGACUAACGCUGGCGGCGUGCCUAACACAUGCAAGUCGAACGAAGUAGCAAUACUUAGUGGCAGACGGGUGAGUAACACGUAGUCAACCUGCCCUUCAAUGGGGGAUAACUAGCCGAAAGGUUAGCUAAUACCGCAUACGAUCUCUGAGUGGCAUCACUCGGCGAUGAAAGGAGUAAUCCGUUGAAGGAGGGGACUGCGUCCCAUUAGUUAGUUGGUGGGGUAAUGGCCUACCAAGACUCCGAUGGGUAGCUGGCUUGAGAGAGCGACCAGCCACACUGGAACUGAGACACGGUCCAGACUCCUACGGAGGCAGCAGUGAGGAAUUUUUCCGCAAUGGGGGAAACCCUGACGGAGCGACGCCGCGUGUGGGAAGAAGGCCUUCGGGUCGUAAACCACUGUCGAGGGGGACGAGUAUUGACGGUACCCCUGGAGGAAGCCCCGGCUAACUACGUGCCAGCAGCCGC
Molecule: ribosomal RNA, 466 nt
Filed under: uncultured bacterium
Lineage: Bacteria
Description: SSU rRNA
Rfam family: Bacterial small subunit ribosomal RNA
Source: RNAcentral